RNAcentral lists this ribosomal RNA (242 nucleotides) under uncultured bacterium. Its description in RNAcentral is "partial 16S ribosomal RNA". It matches the Rfam family "Bacterial small subunit ribosomal RNA", at positions 15 to 249 of the family's 1533-position model. The record is from RNAcentral.
GAUCAUGGCUCAGGACGAACGCUGGCGGCGCGCCUAACACAUGCAAGUCGAACGAGAGAGAAGGAGCUUGCUUCUUCGAUCGAGUGGCGAACGGGUGAGUAACGCGUGAGGAACCUGCCUCAAAGAGGGGGACAACAGUUGGAAACGACUGCUAAUACCGCAUAAGCCCACGGGUCGGCAUCGAUCUGAGGUAAGGAAGGUGAGUCCGCCUUUGUUAGAUGGCCGUCCGCGUCCGACUUAGU